Molecule: long non-coding RNA, 1607 nt
Filed under: Mastacembelus armatus (zig-zag eel)
Lineage: Eukaryota; Metazoa; Chordata; Actinopteri; Synbranchiformes; Mastacembelidae
Description: lncRNA (ENSMAMG00000028075.1)
Source: RNAcentral
CCCGGAAGUGGUUGUAUACCGCGAAAUAGCAACAAGUCAACAUGAAAUUGGUGGAAAUGUGAAGGAGUGUGUCUUUAUAAAAGUGAAAGUUCCCCCUACCGGACAAAGACAAGGCAGCUGAGUGGACGGGAAUGUAGCCUACAUGUAUGUCGUGUGCAGUUGUUGUAAUGCAGCGGAGUAAAGCGUCUGUGACUGUGGAAGUGAAGCAGGUAGUAGGAACUCUAUGCAGACUACUAGCGGUUACCGGUUUGGGCGCUGUCCCCGUACCAGAAGCCUUCAGACGGGCAAAAUUCGGUGCUGGACUCGAGGUGGAAAAUCAGUUUUGGCAGCUUCUCGCUGACAUCCUUGAAAGAGCCGGCAUUAUUUACCCUGAAGCCAGUGCACAGCUGAGAGAUCAUAGGAAGCUGGUGGCAGCAGGCCUCUGGCAGACUGGUUACUAUGCUGACUGGAUGUAUGGAAAAGAAGGAGGAGACGGAAAGGAUGGAAGGAGUUUCUCCAGCAAAGAUCUCCUCUUGGCACUGGGCUGGCUGCUUGCUACUGAAACACUAGAGAAACUGUUGACACAGCGAGUACAGCAACUAGACAAAACCCUACUCAUGUCCAUAACUGUGAACACUCAGGUUUCUCAUAAGCCCCAGUUCGACUUGGCCUCACUGCGAAGACUUCAUUGGCUUAUUGGCUGCUUGAGACACCAGGGGCGGACUCUGAUGUCCAUGUUAGAAGAGCGAACUUGUUUGCUUCAUGCUGUUUUUUCUGCCAGCGUCUCCACCACUGCCUUCCCUUCCUCAUCUGAUGAAAGCCCUGCAGUGCUGAAGGAUGACAGCAUUUGCAUGUGGCAGCUCUGCGACCUCCUAGAUGCAUAUCUGAAUUGGAAACAGGUGGAGAAAAUCUUUUGGACCUGGAUGGACAGUGUGGUGGACUGCCAUCUAACAGAUCCUGUCAAGGAGUCUACACAUUCACCCCACUUGAGAACAAGUGUGUGUCACCACGGAAACCAGGGGCUAGAGAAACUAGAGGACGUGCUACUAAGACUGCCCACAGCACAGAAAGGACAUAGGAGAGGUAGAGGGGAGGGUGAGGACAGAGGAGCAGAGAGCUUGCAGGAUAGAUUGGACACUGCUUCCACCCUGUCCCUGCCCUUCCUCUCCCAGGUCUACCGAGCCAGGCUGCAGAGUGCAAGGCCAGUCAAACACGGCAGCUAUCCAGCAGAGGGGCAUCAAGGCAGGGCCAAAGCUCCAGAUGAGCUCCCCUCCUCCAAGGCAGCACAGCUGCUUCUUCAGACAGAGGCUCUGCUGCUGAAGAGGAGGGACCGGCAAAGACAGGUCAACAGGAUGCAGCUGCAGGAAGUGAUUGGCAGGCUGGAUGAACUGGUGUUGAUACCCCCAUAGGCUUUUAUCUUUGAUUACAUUUUCUAAAAAUGAAUGAAAUAAGGGCCUGACUUUUUCCUGUGCCUGUAAUUACAAGACUGCCCAGUCACUGCACUGCAAAAUACAACAUAUUAAUUAGUGAGCCUUAAGUGUAUGUAGGAAUGUAGGUGAAUUGAAUGGAACAUUAAAAUGUUCAACUAAUUUACUAAUUUAAUAUUUUGUAACUUUAUGCUUAAAUGU